UUUCGGGGCGGGGUGAAAUUCCCCACCGGCGGUACAGUCCGCGACUCCUCAGCAAAACACUGAGGACUGAUACGGUGAAAUUCCGUAACCGACGGUAAUUGCUUUUGCAUAAGUCCGGAUGAGAGAAAU
RNAcentral lists this non-coding RNA (129 nucleotides) under uncultured Eubacterium sp. RNAcentral's name for it is "FMN riboswitch (RFN element)". It matches the Rfam family "FMN riboswitch aptamer (RFN element)". Rfam says of the family: The RFN element is a highly conserved domain that is found frequently in the 5'-untranslated regions of prokaryotic mRNAs that encode for flavin mononucleotide (FMN) biosynthesis and transport proteins. The record is from RNAcentral. Lineage: Bacteria; Bacillati; Bacillota; Clostridia; Eubacteriales; Eubacteriaceae.